This 350-nucleotide ribosomal RNA is filed under the name Cyzicus gynecia. RNAcentral's name for it is "partial 12S ribosomal RNA". Lineage: Eukaryota; Metazoa; Arthropoda; Branchiopoda; Diplostraca; Cyzicidae. The record is from RNAcentral.
AGGGAGAGCGACGGGCGAUGUGUGCACAUUUCAGAGCUCUUUUCAAUUUUACUUGCUAAAUAAAAUUUACUGUCAAAUCCACCUUAUGACUCUUUUUCAUAGAAUCUUCCGUGUAGUUAAUAACUAUUGUAACCCACCUCCACCUUUUCAUUGACUGCACCUUGACCUGAAGUUGUUAAGGAUCUUGGUAAGGAUAAUCUCUUGUGAGAAUUAUCUGGCAACGGCGGUAUACAAGUUUAAGCAGAAAAGGUAGGGUAAAGCGGGGAUUGUCGAUUAGGGGGCAGGUUCCUCUGAGGAGAAUGAAAUGCCGCCAAAUUCUUUGGGUUUGAAGAAUAUCUUUUACUACCCAG